Molecule: ribosomal RNA, 253 nt
Filed under: uncultured bacterium
Lineage: Bacteria
Description: partial 16S ribosomal RNA
Rfam family: Bacterial small subunit ribosomal RNA
Source: RNAcentral
UACAUAGGUCUCAAGCGUUGUUCGGAUUCAUUGGGCGUAAAGGGCGCGUAGGCGGCUCGGCAAGUCGGGUGUGAAAUCUCGGAGCUUAACUCCGAAACUGCAUUCGAUACUGCCGUGCUUGAGGACUGGAGAGGAGACUGGAAUUUACGGUGUAGCGGUGAAAUGCGUAGAUAUCGUAAGGAAGACCAGUGGCGAAGGCGGGUCUCUGGACAGUUCCUGACGCUGAGGCACGAAGGUCAGGGGAGCAAACGGG